RNAcentral lists this non-coding RNA (30 nucleotides) under Homo sapiens (human). The record is from RNAcentral. Lineage: Eukaryota; Metazoa; Chordata; Mammalia; Primates; Hominidae.
UNUUGUAAAGCAUGGACAGUACUGGAUGAA